GUCUGGGGCGGCUGCUGUUGCACUUAGGCUGGGUCUCCGAGCCCCGGAGGAAGCAGGCGUGUGUUGAAUUUCUCUCUGCCCCUUACCGUGGAAUAAACAGGAAGCGACGAGCACCCAGCCCGGCCCGGCACUUGCCUUUGUGAAGGGGUCUGCCCUGCACAGCCUUUAGGAAGCUGGGACCCCUGCCCGGUGCGCCACCCCGGGUGGGCCUGGGGGCGCGCCCUUGGUUCAAGCUCUACGUUCGUGACAUCAAACCUCCUGUUGGGCCAUUUCCGAGAGCUCCCAUCAGUUUCUGUAUAGUGUAAAAGGUAAGUGGAACUACUUGUGACUGUUCUUUGUGAUGAUGUCUGGGAAGCAGAGCUUGUCGCGGCAGGAGCUGCUCUGCGAUGGUGGACCUGUCUGGCUGCGUUUGUUUUGACAAGGGUGCGCCUCAUUUGUGUGUUUCUUCUUUGGGGCUGAAUGUCAGUGGCUGGGGCUUGGGUAUCUAUUCACAGUA
RNAcentral lists this small RNA (496 nucleotides) under Pongo abelii (Sumatran orangutan). RNAcentral's name for it is "retained intron". The record is from RNAcentral. Lineage: Eukaryota; Metazoa; Chordata; Mammalia; Primates; Hominidae.